GGCAGUUUAACAAAGAGUCUCUUUAGGGGUUUUUUGUUCUGCCUCUGGUUGGUAUUGCUUUGGAGAGGAAACUGAGCUCUGAAAAAGACCUCACGUAGCAAGGGGAUGGCAGGGCAUGCAGCAAGUCCUGCUGCAGGAAUUCUUGGAGGAGGAAGGUGGAGAGUCUCAAAGGAGGCAUAAGUAACAAUCACUACCAAAACCCCAGGAAGGAGCCCCAGUAUUUCCCAGGAAUGAGGGGCAGGGGAAUCUCCGUGCAUGGACAGCCAAGUGUUCCAACACAGCUCUGGCUCGGGCUGCUGAGCCCCCUUGGAGCCUGGGCUGGAACAUCUGCUCCAUCUCCUGCAGGAAGGAAAUAACCUCUCCUGGAUGGAUCCUGUUCAAAAUGUGUCUGCUGAACAAUCCUUCUCAGCAACAAAUACGCCUCUGAGCAGAAAGAGGAUCUCGUGGGAAGCUUUGGGAAGAAUCUGGAACCUCUUUAAUUUUGAGAAAAGAAGAGAUAGUAAACAGGUUAGAGGUGUCUCUGGGUAUUUGGUGAUGCACUGACCACUGCCUGGCCUGAUGCUGAAUACAGAUAAUAUUCUGAAAUUUCUGGGUGUGAUGUGAGAUGGAACUUCAGCCAGCCUGAGUCUCUUGUGUGAAACUUGCUACUGUGCCUUGUUCUGCUCUGGACAGGGCAGAACUCCAGCAUACUGAGGUGCCAAUAACUCAAAAC
Molecule: non-coding RNA, 712 nt
Organism: Taeniopygia guttata (zebra finch)
Lineage: Eukaryota; Metazoa; Chordata; Aves; Passeriformes; Estrildidae
Source: RefSeq, a predicted model, not a curated record